UACGUAGGCAGCGAGCGUUGUUCGGAAUUACUGGGCGUAAAGAGUGUGUAGGCGGUGUUCCCAGUCUGUUGUGAAAUCUCCCGGCUUAACUGGGAGGGUGCAGCGGAAACUAGAAUGCUAGAGGGUGGGAGAGGUAAGCGGAAUUCCUGGUGUAGCGGUGAAAUGCGUAGAUAUCGUAAGGAAGACCAGUGGCGGAAGGCGGGUCUCUGGACAGUUCCUGACGCUGAGGCACGAAGGUCAGGGGAGCAAACGGGAUUAG
This 259-nucleotide ribosomal RNA is filed under the name uncultured bacterium. RNAcentral describes it as "partial 16S ribosomal RNA". It matches the Rfam family "Bacterial small subunit ribosomal RNA", at positions 524 to 781 of the family's 1533-position model. The record is from RNAcentral.